AUUCAAGAAAAAUCAAUUCAUCAAAAGAGAAAAGAAGAGACCGAAGCUAGAAAAAAAGGGGAAAAAAUUGCCAAGUUCUUCAACUUUGAUCCAAAAAUCUCGUCCUUCUCAAAUUCUUACUAAGUUCAAGCUCCUCUUCAACGGGGUAUAAUUGGGUAAGCGAGAGAACUACGAUUGUGGCAAGUCGAAAAUUGAAGAAAAGAUUUUGGAAAGACCAAGAGUUAGGUGGGGUGACUAAGGAAGCGGACAAGGCUGCGUUUCAUGCCGCGCAGGUACACCAAGACGAGUAGAAGCUAUUAUAGAAGAUGUUGCAGCAGCGUUAGCAACUCUACUUGUUCCUGAAGUGCUACCGAGUCAGAGUAUAGGCGCUAUGAUGUUUCGUUCAAAGUUAGAGACUUUGCAGACAGUGUCGUGGGUAUAGAGUGUCAGCUUUAUAAGCGGCGUCACCAGCCGAUAUGUUAUUAUGUCAUAUGCCACGAGUUUUAUGGGAUGAUAGAUUUUGAAAAAAAUAAUAAUUUGGGAAGCUUAGUUAUGUUUUUUUUUUCAUUUCUUAUUGAUGUAAAAGUCUAAGGAGAUUAAGUAUGUACUAUGAAGAAGCGGGUUCGCUCGGCUCCAAGCAUGGGGUCGGGUUCCCAUCACACCCUAUUAAUAUCGGGGUGUGACAUUUAUAUCUGUAACAUCCCCUAAAAACGUUGUAUACGAUGUUUCAAUUUUCGCCUAAACAUGAUACAACUUCUGUAUUUUGGGCAUAACUUUUUAUAGGAAUAUCCAAAUUAAGUGA
Solanum dulcamara is the source of this 781-nucleotide long non-coding RNA. RefSeq lists it as uncharacterized. The record is from RefSeq and is a predicted model, not a curated record. Lineage: Eukaryota; Viridiplantae; Streptophyta; Magnoliopsida; Solanales; Solanaceae. The transcript has 3 exons.